UGAACGCUGGCGGCAGGCCUAACACAUGCAAGUCGAACGGUAACAGGAAGCAGCUUGCUGCUUCGCUGACGAGUGGCGGACGGGUGAGUAAUGUCUGGGAAACUGCCUGAUGGAGGGGGAUAACUACUGGAAACGGUAGCUAAUACCGCAUAACGUCGCAAGACCAAAGAGGGGGACCUUCGGGCCUCUUGCCAUCGGAUGUGCCCAGAUGGGAUUAGCUAGUAGGUGGGGUAACGGCUCACCUAGGCGACGAUCCCUAGCUGGUCUGAGAGGAUGACCAGCCACACUGGAACUGAGACACGGUCCAGACUCCUACGGGAGGCAGCAGUGGGGAAUAUUGCACAAUGGGCGCAAGCCUGAUGCAGCCAUGCCGCGUGUAUGAAGAAGGCCUUCGGGUUGUAAAGUACUUUCAGCGGGGAGGAAGGCGAUAAGGUUAAUAACCUUGUCGAUUGACGUUACCCGCAGAAGAAGCACCGGCUAACUCCGUGCCAGCAGCCGCGGUAAUACGGAGGGUGCAAGCGUUAAUCGGAAUUACUGGGCGUAAAGCGCACGCAGGCGGUCUGUCAAGUCGGAUGUGAAAUCCCCGGGCUCAACCUGGGAACUGCAUUCGAAACUGGCAGGCUAGAGUCUUGUAGAGGGGGGUAGAAUUCCAGGUGUAGCGGUGAAAUGCGUAGAGAUCUGGAGGAAUACCGGUGGCGAAGGCGGCCCCCUGGACAAAGACUGACG
Molecule: ribosomal RNA, 726 nt
Filed under: Enterobacter sp.
Lineage: Bacteria; Pseudomonadati; Pseudomonadota; Gammaproteobacteria; Enterobacterales; Enterobacteriaceae
Also listed under: 1 other name
Description: bacterial SSU rRNA
Rfam family: Bacterial small subunit ribosomal RNA
Source: RNAcentral